AACAAGGCGUACCUGCGGACCUGCGGAAGGAUCAUUACAAGUGACCCCGGUCUAACCACCGGGAUGUUCAUAACCCUUUGUUGUCCGACUCUGUUGCCUCCGGGGCGACCCUGCCUUCGGGCGGGGGCUCCGGGUGGACACUUCAAACCCUUGCGUAACUUUGCAGUCUGAGUAAACUUAAUUAAUAAAUUAAAACUUUUAACAAUGGAUCU
RNAcentral lists this unclassified non-coding RNA (212 nucleotides) under soil metagenome. Its description in RNAcentral is "partial contains 5.8S ribosomal RNA, internal transcribed spacer 2, and large subunit ribosomal RNA". The record is from RNAcentral.